RNAcentral lists this transfer RNA (70 nucleotides) under uncultured Eubacterium sp. It matches the Rfam family "tRNA". From Rfam's summary of the family: Transfer RNA (tRNA) molecules are approximately 80 nucleotides in length. Their secondary structure includes four short double-helical elements and three loops (D, anti-codon, and T loops). Lineage: Bacteria; Bacillati; Bacillota; Clostridia; Eubacteriales; Eubacteriaceae. The record is from RNAcentral.
AUACUUGGCUCAACGGUUAGAGCAGCCGCCUCAUAAGCGGUCGGUCGAAGGUUCGACUCCUUCAGUAUCC